Molecule: ribosomal RNA, 301 nt
Filed under: uncultured bacterium
Lineage: Bacteria
Description: partial 16S ribosomal RNA
Rfam family: Bacterial small subunit ribosomal RNA
Source: RNAcentral
CAGUCGCCACGGUAAUACGUAGGGUGCGAGCGUUAAUCGGAAUUACUGGGCGUAAAGCGUGCGCAGGCGGUUCGUUAAGACAGAUGUGAAAUCCCCGGGCUUAACCUGGGAACUGCAUUUGUGACUGGCGAGCUAGAGUAUGGCAGAGGGGGGUAGAAUUCCACGUGUAGCAGUGAGAUGCGUAGAGAUGUGGAGGAAUACCGAUGGCGAAGGCAGCCCCCUGGGCCAAUACUGACGCUCAUGCACGAAAGCGUGGGGAGCAAACAGGAUUAGAUACCCCUGUAGUCCCUGUCUCUUAUAC